RNAcentral lists this ribosomal RNA (636 nucleotides) under Calliostoma ligatum. RNAcentral's name for it is "partial 12S ribosomal RNA". It matches the Rfam family "Bacterial small subunit ribosomal RNA", at positions 524 to 1384 of the family's 1533-position model. Lineage: Eukaryota; Metazoa; Mollusca; Gastropoda; Trochida; Calliostomatidae. The record is from RNAcentral.
GACAAACGGAUCGAGUUAAGAUUUAUUUAGUAAAAAAGGAGGUUAGGUGAGGAAUGAAAUUUGGGAAUCUGCUUUUUUUAUAGAGGUGAAAUUUGUAUAGGAACGGUUAGUCUUUUAUUCCCUGUCUCUGACGCCUCGAAAGUUUAGUAUAAGACCGGGAUUAGAUACCCCGUUAUUUAUCCUGUAAACUUUAAUUUAUUUUAAUUUACUUGGGUAUUACGGGUUGCGGCGAAUUUGUUAACGUUUGCAUGUGCUUAAAACCCAAAAAACUUGGCGGUGCCCUAAUUCUUUCUGGGGGAACCUGUCCUGUAAUCGAUGGUCCGCGAUUUAACUUACCUUGUUUUGAAUAGUUGAUAAUUUAUUAAUAGUGCAGCCUGUAUACCGUCGUCGUCAGAUUACCUUUAAGAGAUUAGAAGUUGUCGGGAGGAGUAGGUUCGUUUGGUUUACUCUUAGGUGAGUAGAUUAAGUUCUAGAUUCUAGAUGUCAGAUCAAGGUGCAGUUUAUGGCAAGGGAGAGAUGGGUUACAAUAAUUAUUUAUUAUACGGAGUUUAUUUUGUAAAAAAUAAGUUGAAGGUGGACUCGGGAGUAAUGUGAUUUUAUUAGAGUGUUUUUGUGAAAAUUAGUGCUGGGGUGCGC